UCCUUGAUGGUCUAGUGGUCAUGAUUUCCGCUUGUCAACAUCGCUUAAUAAGCGAGUAACAAGCGCGGGAGACCGGGGUUCGAUUCCCCGUCAGGGAG
Trichophyton equinum CBS 127.97 is the source of this 98-nucleotide non-coding RNA. Lineage: Eukaryota; Fungi; Ascomycota; Eurotiomycetes; Onygenales; Arthrodermataceae. The record is from Rfam.